AUUGAACGCUGGCGGCAGGCCUAACACAUGCAAGUCGAGCGGAUGAAGGGAGCUUGCUCCUGGAUUCAGCGGCGGACGGGUGAGUAAUGCCUAGGAAUCUGCCUGGUAGUGGGGGAUAACGUCCGGAAACGGGCGCUAAUACCGCAUCCGUCCUGAGGGAGAAAGUGGGGGAUCUUCGGACCUCACGCUAUCAGAUGAGCCUAGGUCGGAUUAGCUAGUUGGUGGGGUAAAGGCCUACCAAGGCGACGAUCCGUAACUGGUCUGAGAGGAUGAUCAGUCACACUGGAACUGAGACACGGUCCAGACUCCUACGGGAGGCAGCAGUGGGGAAUAUUGGACAAUGGGCGAAAGCCUGAUCCAGCCAUGCCGCGUGUGUGAAGAAGGUCUUCGGAUUGUAAAGCACUUUUAGUUGGGAGGAAGGGCAGUAAGUUAAUACCUUGCUGUUUUGACGGUACCAACAGAAUAAGCACCGGCUAACUUCGUG
Molecule: ribosomal RNA, 484 nt
Filed under: uncultured bacterium
Lineage: Bacteria
Description: partial 16S ribosomal RNA
Rfam family: Bacterial small subunit ribosomal RNA
Source: RNAcentral